RNAcentral lists this unclassified non-coding RNA (335 nucleotides) under soil metagenome. RNAcentral's name for it is "partial contains 5.8S ribosomal RNA, internal transcribed spacer 2, and large subunit ribosomal RNA". The stretch from base 1 to 120 matches the Rfam family "5.8S ribosomal RNA", at positions 35 to 154 of the family's 154-position model. The record is from RNAcentral.
GAUGAAGAACGUAGCGAAAUGCGAUAAGUAAUGCGAAUUGCAGAAUUCAGUGAGUCAUCGAAUCUUUGAACGCACAUUGCGCCCGCCAGUAUUCUGGCGGGCAUGCCUGUUCGAGCGUCAUUUCAACCAUCAAGCCCCCGGCUUGUGUUGGGGACCUGCGGCUGCCGCAGGCCCUGAAAACCAGUGGCGGGCUCGCUAGUCACUCCGAGCGUAGUAAUACAUCUCGCUCAGGGCGUGCUGCGGGUUCCGGCCGUUAAAAAGCCUUAUUUACCCAAGGUUGACCUCGGAUCAGGUAGGAAGACCCGCUGAACUUAAGCAUAUCAAUAAGCGGAGGA